Molecule: ribosomal RNA, 219 nt
Filed under: uncultured bacterium
Lineage: Bacteria
Description: partial 16S ribosomal RNA
Rfam family: Bacterial small subunit ribosomal RNA
Source: RNAcentral
GCAAGUCGAGCGACUCUUCGAGAGGAGCGGCGAACGGCUGCGUAACACGUUGGUACCUACCUCAUACUCAGGAAUAACACGCCGAAAGGUGUGCUAAUGCCGGAUAGUCCCGCAAGGGUAAAGCUUUCGCGGUAUGAGAGGGGCCUGCGGCCUAUCAGUUUGUUGGUGAGGUAAAAGCUCACCAAGACGAUGACGGGUAGCUGAUCUGAGAGGAUGAUC